Molecule: ribosomal RNA, 497 nt
Filed under: uncultured bacterium
Lineage: Bacteria
Description: partial 16S ribosomal RNA
Rfam family: Bacterial small subunit ribosomal RNA
Source: RNAcentral
GAUGAACGCUGGCGGCGUGCCUAAUACAUGCAAGUCGAGCGAACAGACGAGGAGCUUGCUCCUCUGACGUUAGCGGCGGACGGGUGAGUAACACGUGGAUAACCUACCUAUAAGACUGGGAUAACUUCGGGAAACCGGAGCUAAUACCGGAUAAUAUAUUGAACCGCAUGGUUCAAUAGUGAAAGACGGUCUUGCUGUCACUUAUAGAUGGAUCCGCGCUGCAUUAGCUAGUUGGUAAGGUAACGGCUUACCAAGGCAACGAUGCAUAGCCGACCUGAGAGGGUGAUCGGCCACACUGGAACUGAGACACGGUCCAGACUCCUACGGGAGGCAGCAGUAGGGAAUCUUCCGCAAUGGGCGAAAGCCUGACGGAGCAACGCCGCGUGAGUGAUGAAGGUCUUCGGAUCGUAAAACUCUGUUAUUAGGGAAGAACAAAUGUGUAAGUAACUGUGCACGUCUUGACGGUACCUAAUCAGAAAGCCACGGCUAACUACGUG